Molecule: long non-coding RNA, 347 nt
Filed under: Drosophila guanche
Lineage: Eukaryota; Metazoa; Arthropoda; Insecta; Diptera; Drosophilidae
Source: RNAcentral
GCUUAAUGUAAAUCCUUGUUAUCCUUCAUUUUAUGCUGCCACUGCCACUGCCACUGCCACUGCCACUGACUGCAUUUGUGCCCCAGCAUCUGGGGGCAGCCCCUGCAGCUUUUCAAGUUUAUGUCGCCGGAACAUCCAGCGCCUUUGGCCGGGCUCUUCCUUUCGGCUUUGCGGUUGUUUCCUGAUGUCCAUUUUGCCCCACACCGCCCUGCCCAUACUCCGCUCAACACUGUCUCCAUGUUCUUUACGACUUUGUGUCUCUGUUUUAUGACCAGUUUCAUCGCCAUUUCGUUUUUUCUCUUCUCUUUUUUCGUAAUUAUUGUCACGUAUGCGCUGCAAAAUUUUAU